GGGCAACCCUGGUGGCGAGCGGCGAACGGGUGAGUAAUACAUCGGAACAUGCCCAGUCGUGGGGGAUAACACUUCGAAAGAAGUGCUAAUACCGCAUACGUCCUGAGGGAGAAAGCGGGGGAUCGCAAGACCUCGCGCGAUUGGAGUGGCCGAUGUCAGAUUAGCUAGUUGGUGGGGUAAAGGCCUACCAAGGCAACGAUCUGUAGCUGGUCUGAGAGGAUGAUCAGCCACACUGGGACUGAGACACGGCCCAGACUCCUACGGGAGGCAGCAGUGGGGAAUUUUGGACAAUGGGGGCAACCCUGAUCCAGCCAUUCCGCGUGAGUGAAGAAGGCCUUCGGGUUGUAAAGCUCUUUCGGCAGGAACGAAACGGCGAGCUCUAACAUAGCUUGCUAAUGACGGUA
RNAcentral lists this ribosomal RNA (404 nucleotides) under uncultured bacterium. RNAcentral describes it as "bacterial SSU rRNA". It matches the Rfam family "Bacterial small subunit ribosomal RNA", at positions 77 to 493 of the family's 1533-position model. The record is from RNAcentral.